GGGCAUGUGGUCUAGUGGUAUGACGUCUGCUUCGCAUUCUAAUUGCGACCGAACGGGCUUCGUUGUCUCGAUUAGCAGAAGGUCCCGGGUUCAAGUCCCGUCUUGUCCA
Non-coding RNA from Malassezia sp. CBS 17886, 109 nucleotides. The record is from the annotation of a GenBank genome assembly. NCBI's taxonomy places the organism in Eukaryota, Fungi, Basidiomycota, Malasseziomycetes, Malasseziales, Malasseziaceae.